RNAcentral lists this ribosomal RNA (400 nucleotides) under uncultured bacterium. Its description in RNAcentral is "bacterial SSU rRNA". It matches the Rfam family "Bacterial small subunit ribosomal RNA", at positions 355 to 752 of the family's 1533-position model. The record is from RNAcentral.
UAGGGAAUAUUGGGCAAUGGAGGCAACUCUGACCCAGCCAUGCCGCGUGCCGGAUGAAGGCGCUCAGCGUUGUAAACGGCUUUUACUCAUGAAGAACUGUGGGGAUGCGUCCUUACUUGACGGUAAUGAGGGAAUAAGCACCGGCUAACUCCGUGCCAGCAGCCGCGGUAAUACGGAGGGUGCGAGCGUUGUCCGGAUUUAUUGGGUUUAAAGGGUGCGUAGGUGGUCAUUUAAGUCUGGUUUGAAAGUAGGUCGCUCAACGAUCUAAUGUGGCUGGAAACUGAGUGACUUGAAUGGGUUGGCGGCUGCCGGAACGGGUCAUGUAGCGGUGAAAUGCAUAGAUAUGACCCAGAACACCGAUUGCGAAGGCAGGCAGCUACGACCUGAUUGACACUGAGGC